RNAcentral lists this ribosomal RNA (460 nucleotides) under uncultured bacterium. RNAcentral describes it as "partial 16S ribosomal RNA". It matches the Rfam family "Bacterial small subunit ribosomal RNA", at positions 338 to 795 of the family's 1533-position model. The record is from RNAcentral.
CCUACGUGUGGCUGCAGUGAGGAAUAUUGGUCAAUGGGCGGGAGCCUGAACCAGCCAAGUCGCGUGAGGGAAGACGGUCCUACGGAUUGUAAACCUCUUUUGCCGGGGAGCAACGGGGUCCUUGCGAGGGCCCAAUGAGAGUACCCGGAGAAACAGCAUCGUCUAACUCCGUGCCAGCAGCCGCGGUAAUACGGAGGAUGCGAGCGUUAUCCGGAUUUAUUGGGUUGAAGGGGUGCGUAGGCGGGCUGUUAAGGCAGCGGUCAAAUGUCGGGGCUCCAACCCGGACUGCCGUUGAAACUGGCGGCCUCGAGUGGGCGAGAAGUAUGCGGAAUGCGUGGUGUAGCGGUGAAAUGCAUAGAUAUCACGCAGAACUCCGAUUGCGAAGGCAGCAUACCGGCGCCCUACUGACGCUGAGGCACGAAAGCGUGGGUAUCGAACAGGAUUAGAUACCCGGGUAGUC